AGUCGAUAAAAGUCCCUUUCUUUCUAAAAAAAAGUCGUUAGGGGGUCUGAAAAGUCAUUGAAUCUAACAACAAAGUCGCUAAGUUUGCAACUACGUGUCCCAGACUGCAUCCCUGCUGAGAGUCCCUCCCUCCCUUCUCAUGUUGCAGGAAGAACGUAAGCGCCCGCCCCUUGUCAAUCAGUCACCAUAUAAUUUUGGAUUGGUUGUUGUGGUGAAGUUUUCCACCAAUAGGAGAGAUGUUGUGGUGUGUGUUUUUUUUCUUUUGGCAAGCCUUUUCCGCCUGUAAGAGCUGUCGCUAAUGUCUGCAUGCUAUGUUUUCCUGUCUCAUACAGCGCGAUCGAGCGCCGAACGUGAUCAAAAUAAGCAGAAAAAAAGUAUCGCGGACAUAAUUUAUCAUAACUCUGGUUUUAUUUGGCCUAUCAACACAAUUUAAAAACUGGUAUAUAGGUUGAGGUCCUCACUUUUGAGAUAAGUUGAAACGGAGAGUCAACGAGGCUCCGUCUUGCAGCUACAUCCGGUUAAAUAUGUCAUGUGACUUGAACGCACACACAGACACACACACACACACACACACACACACACACUCAGAGUCUGGUUUUUAGCACCUGCAAAAACAUGCUAUUUACAUAUUUGACAAGAAUGCAGAGGCUCCUUUUGCCCCUGAAAAAAAUCAAAUUUCAAACACAACUUGACUGGUCAUUUCUCCAAAAGACAACCAUGAAGCUCCAUCCAAACCUGAAGCAGGCAGUUUGUGCAUGUGUACAGUAACCUGAGGGGAGUGAGGUGAGUGCUUCUGAGGAGAACAUGAGCAGUGAAGAUUCACCUUGGAGCUAGAACAGAGACAUGCACAUGAUUAUACAGGGGCAGGGGCUCAAGUUU
Molecule: non-coding RNA, 879 nt
Organism: Xyrichtys novacula (pearly razorfish)
Lineage: Eukaryota; Metazoa; Chordata; Actinopteri; Labriformes; Labridae
Source: the annotation of a GenBank genome assembly